Molecule: ribosomal RNA, 513 nt
Filed under: Triticum aestivum (bread wheat)
Lineage: Eukaryota; Viridiplantae; Streptophyta; Magnoliopsida; Poales; Poaceae
Description: partial small subunit ribosomal RNA
Source: RNAcentral
AUGGGAAACUUUUGGAGGUCUUUACCCCAUCUAGGGGACUUCGACAAGGUGACCCACUAUCCCCGUUUUCUAUUCCUAUUUAUUGUUGAUGCCUUGUCUGCCCUGAUCUCUAAAUCGGUGGACGAGGGGAAUUUGAAAGGGGUGAGUAUUUGUCGAGGUGCGCUGAUCAUAUCGCACCUCCUAUUUGCGGAUGAUACUAUGCUGUUCUUUGAAGCCUCAGGAGAACAAGCAAAUGUGGUAAAAGGUUUGUUGAACACUUAUUCCUCGGCGACGGGUCAACUCAUUAAUCCCGAGAAGUGUUCCAUUCUUUUUUCGGAUAAUUGCAAUGAGCCGGUGGCGGAAGAGGUCAAGAGCAUCCUGGAGAUAACACAACAAGUGUUCGAGCCAAAAUACUUAGGCCUUCCUGUGCCAGAGGGUAGAGUGCACAAAGGGCAGUUUGAAAUGCUACAGGAAAGGCUAAGGAAGAGGCUAGUUGACUGGAGUGAACAAUACAUGUCAGUGGGAAACAAGUAG